RNAcentral lists this long non-coding RNA (3480 nucleotides) under Orussus abietinus. RNAcentral's name for it is "uncharacterized LOC105702046, transcript variant X1". The record is from RNAcentral. Lineage: Eukaryota; Metazoa; Arthropoda; Insecta; Hymenoptera; Orussidae.
UUCAUCAAAGAACACUUACUGAAGAGAUACAGUCGUGGUCGCUUAGUGGCUCCGGAACGUGUAAAAAGGGAGCAUUGCGACGCACUAAGGGUACCUUCGCCAUCCUCCAUGAAAAAAGCUACGUGCAAGGCUCACGGAAUAUCGGAUGAUUCAACCCCGCACUCUCGGCCGUACCUUAUUUUAGCGAGCUGCGGAAUAUUUACGAAUUCCUUGAGAGCUACUCGCCAGUCACGGCAACUUCCUAGAUAAAGCGAAGAGCUUCGAGAGCGAGAUAUGAUUGAAACCACUGCCAGCCAGGGAUCGAGUUUCUCAGCGAGAAAUCUCAGGUACGCGCGAGGAGGAUGCCGGAAAGCCGCUGAAGCUUCUCUCGAGAAUUUCUUGGCGUGGAUGGACCCCUCGUCGAUAAAAAAUGUCUGCUAAUUUAUAUUCAAGACUUGAAAAUUAUUGCUUCACCACGACGCUAUGUACUGAAGAUACGCGCGAGGAGGAUGCCGGAAAGCCGCGGAAGCUUCUCCCGAGAAUUUCUGGGCGUGGAUGGACCCGUCGUCGGUGUGGCGAGUCACCGCUGUACUUAAAGCCGUCAACGUGGGGCUCUUACAUUAACGCAAUUACUCCGAUGUCGUGGCACGGCGACGAGCACCGGACAAAAUGCGGGCUAGGGAGGGAUCGUAAAUUUCUCGCAGGAGAGCUUUCUCGCCGGCGCAGCCCGAUUUAAGUCGCGCGUCUCGGAAAGGGCGUCGUGACAUCAUGGGGCAGCGACGCAAGCUUUAAUAUAAAAAUAAGCGGUCUCCAUGGCCCGAUCGGGCGGGGCGAGGAAGACAUGGGACGCGAGAUCAUCCUCAAUGGCGACAAUGGAAUUCGCCCUCUGAGGAAUUCCACGGAGGAUUACCAUCGGCGAGGAAGAUUUAUUGGACGAGGACCACGAGAGCAAAGAGAAGGCGAGGUAGCGAGCGGAACGGCCCGACUUCCGUCUAAGACUUUGUAGAUUCGGCGCCAUCUUCCCGCGAGGCGCGAGAUUCUGGCCGCAGUCGUUGGCACGAAUCUUCGCGUAAUUACAGCCUCGAGAGGCGAAACCGUAACGCGAAUAGUUACACGCUCGAUCCCUGCCCUCAUCAUGCGCAUUAACCUAACAAAUACCUCCUGCGACUGUAUUAUAUAUUUUCUAUUUAGCCUCCUUACGAGCGGACGAUUGUUUACUCGAGUCUCCUUAAUAUUGCCUGCACUGUUCGCCACUGUGCGCAAUUAUUUCGGCGAGACAAUGGUGUUAAAUUUAUCCCAAUCUAGAAGACCAGAAUUUAAACAAUUCCUGUACCUUAGGAAGUCAUUACUAGACGCCUGAAAUUCCAUCGUUAACCUUGUGAGAAUACUUAAAUUUAUACUUUCACGUCCAUGCAAAAAGAGCGCAGGAGGCAUAUCGUCAUAGAGUUGUGAGAAAUUAUACGGGAGGAAUUACUGUCCGUAUGAACGCGAUGGAGCGGUCGUCGGUGUUAACUUAAGUGUUGGGACUGUGUGGAUCACGGUAUGAACGAGGCUCGAGCAUUUCGUUUGUUUGCGAUUCGCUGUAAUUCCGGUGGGUUAUUCCUUCAGAUUCCAUAAGAGUCCCGCGGCCCCACGGAUCAAAAUUCGCCGUUCAAUGUCGAGAUGGAACCUGACGAUCCAAUAAGGAAAUGUUCGACAUUCUGGCCCUCCUCAGCUGCGCAUACGCGGCCUGCCUUUGGUGCGGAGUCCUCGGCGCAUGCUACCCGAAUUUCCACUCGAAGCUGAACGCCCUGAAGAGAAGCCACGCGUGUCCGAAGUGCGACCCCUCCCGGCACUUCGUUAUUCGUUCUCGACCACGAGACAUCAUAGAAGCGGAAGAAAAGGAAGAAGAAGACGUAAAGAAAUCCCAGGUCCUUCCAGCUGACGACUCCCAGACUCGCAGAAGAGCGACCCCGAUGGAGCCUGAGGGAUAUCCGAGAGAAGCUGGACAGGGUCGCCCGGUGGGCAGGACGAUGUCGGUGGAUGCCAGCACUCAGGAUUAAAAAGCGAAGUUGGCCGGGAGAACGUGCCAAGCUCGGCGGCAUAUAGGAAAGACCACCUCGAGCUCGAAGCACGUAAUGGCAUCAUUCACGCAGUAGCACUUACGAGGGUCCACCUGGAGAUGGAGAUCGUCACGCGUCUCGGAGAACAACAGUCAUCCGGGCAAACCUGACGGAUGGACUUUCUUCGGGUGGCCCGAUCGGCACUCGGCCAGUUCGGGAUGUAGUCUCAUAUGGAGGUCUGGGAACGACGGGAGGAAUUCCUCCCGCGAGGGAGACAUCGGCAGACCUCGUUGAGGCGAUUCCUAGCGAGAAGAAGGCCCGUCGUUCCCCGAAAUGCGAUCCAGGUCGGACCCACCGGGAACGACGCGCGAGCUCGCGCCGUUCGGCGACACACCAUGGCUGUCCAUAAUUUUAGAACGCGUAAAUCCCGCCUUUGACUUCGAUUUUACGAUCGACCGGCCCUCUAGGUGGAGGUGCGUCGGGGGCGUCGGGAGCGAGAAAGAGUCCGAGCCAAUUUCGAAGUGCAGCGAGCCGAGCACAAAGGUUCCACGGGUACGCUAACCGACGCCAGACGCCGGGGCAUUAUUCUCUUUGUUCCAAUUAUUAAGACGCCAAGCCUGCUCGAAGAUGGCCCCUUUAUGAAAUAUUGCGGCUCGGUGCAUCUCGCGUGCCCGGGACCGACCGGACGGUCCCAUCGAUCCUCUUCAGAGGCCACUCGGAAUCCCCAGAAUCGGAUUUAUGCUUGGAACAAUGAGACGCCAGAACUCUCCCAGACGCGGACCUAACGGCGCCUUGCUCGUUACUCGCGUCGGUCUAAUGCCAUUUCCUGACACCUUGAAGAAUGAAAGUUACGCCAGAAUGUUAGUACCGUACGAAUGGCUCUACGACGUUGGGCCAACGAGAGUGUGAUCUCUGGGAGCGAAUCCAAAGACAAACGACGUCGUGCUCGACGGUUGUUUCGGUUCGCGGGCUGGCCGCGAUAGUUCGGAUACUGGAACCGGGGCAAUCAUCCAAUACAAAAGGAACUGGCGUAUUAUAUUUAGACAAGUGCAACGCGAGCACUGGAAACUGACUAUGCACACAGCAAACCAUAGUCAUCGUCCUCCUCGUUUGGUUUUGUCGAACUGAUGCGAAAGCUGGAACUUCCUUAGACCACGUGCAUACGUCAGACCUAUUGUAUCAUGUUCUAGUCCUGUCCCUGUGAUAAAAUUUCCGAUGACCACGAGUCCAGGCUUUCGCUACUGACCAUAAUUACCUGCGUUAUAUCUUACUUUAAUCGCAUUUAAGUAACGUGCUCCCACGUCCACUGUUAUUUACUUCUAAAGUGGGAAUGACGUCCUAUGCCCGCAGACUGAUUAUGUAGUAUCCGAAAUAUGAUUUUGCGAUGGCCAUUUGGCAGUUAAUCUCCAUCGUAUGAAAUUCCCAUUUUAUUCUAAAUGCAUUUAAAUUCGUAUUCUUA